Molecule: ribosomal RNA, 497 nt
Filed under: uncultured bacterium
Lineage: Bacteria
Description: partial 16S ribosomal RNA
Rfam family: Bacterial small subunit ribosomal RNA
Source: RNAcentral
GACGAACGCUGGCGGCGUGCCUAAUACAUGCAAGUAGAACGCUGAAGAGAGGAGCUUGCUCUUCUUGGAUGAGUUGCGAACGGGUGAGUAACGCGUAGGUAACCUGCCUUGUAGCGGGGGAUAACUAUUGGAAACGAUAGCUAAUACCGCAUAACAAUGGAUGACACAUGUCAUUUAUUUGAAAGGGGCAAUUGCUCCACUACAAGAUGGACCUGCGUUGUAUUAGCUAGUAGGUGAGGUAAUGGCUCACCUAGGCGACGAUACAUAGCCGACCUGAGAGGGUGAUCGGCCACACUGGGACUGAGACACGGCCCAGACUCCUACGGGAGGCAGCAGUAGGGAAUCUUCGGCAAUGGGAGCAACCCUGACCGAGCAACGCCGCGUGAGUGAAGAAGGUUUUCGGAUCGUAAAGCUCUGUUGUAAGUCAAGAACGGGUGUGAGAGUGGAAAGUUCACACUGUGACGGUAGCUUACCAGAAAGAGACGGCUAACUACGUG